This 427-nucleotide ribosomal RNA is filed under the name uncultured bacterium. RNAcentral describes it as "bacterial SSU rRNA". It matches the Rfam family "Bacterial small subunit ribosomal RNA", at positions 29 to 462 of the family's 1533-position model. The record is from RNAcentral.
AUUGAACGCUGGCGGCAUGCCUUACACAUGCAAGUCGAACGGCAGCACGGGAGCAAUCCUGGUGGCGAGUGGCGAACGGGUGAGUAAUAUAUCGGAACGUGCCCGGUCGUGGGGGAUAACGUAGCGAAAGCUACGCUAAUACCGCAUACGAUCUACGGAUGAAAGCGGGGGAUCGCAAGACCUCGCGCGAUUGGAGCGGCCGAUAUCAGAUUAGGUAGUUGGUGAGGUAAAGGCUCACCAAGCCGACGAUCUGUAGCUGGUCUGAGAGGACGACCAGCCACACUGGGACUGAGACACGGCCCAGACUCCUACGGGAGGCAGCAGUGGGGAAUUUUGGACAAAUGGGCGCAAGCCUGAUCCAGCCAUGCCGCGUGUGUGAAGAAGGCCUGGUGUAAGCACUUCUACGUCGAGGAGGAAGGGAGGUUGU